ACACCCGUGAGAAUGCCCCCAUGGCUCCCUUUCCUGGAGCAAGGAGCAGGUAUCAGGCGCGCUACGGCAGCCCAUAACACCUUGCUUAGCCACGCCCCCAAGGGACAUCAGCAGUGAUAAGUAUUAAGCCAUAAGUGAAAACUUGACUUAGUUAAAGCUUGAAGGGCCGGUAAAACUCGUGCCAGCCACCGCGGUUAUACGAGGGGCCCAAGUUAACAGAACCUCGGCGUAAAGCGUGGUUAGAUAACAAUAAACUAAAGCCGAAUACUCUCGAGGCUGUUAUACGCACCUGAGAGCUAGAAGCCCCACUACGAAAGUGGCUUUACCUAAUUUGAACCCACGAAAGCUAAGGCACAAACUGGGAUUAGAUACCCCACUAUGCUUAGCCCUAAACUUAGAUAACUAACCUACACAUGUUAUCCGCCCGGGUACUACGAGCAUCAGCUUGAAACCCAAAGGACUUGGCGGUGCUUAAUAACCCCCUAGAGGAGCCUGUUCUAGAACCGAUAACCCUCGUUAAACCUCACCCUCUCUUGUUCGUCCC
Molecule: ribosomal RNA, 544 nt
Filed under: Istiblennius enosimae
Lineage: Eukaryota; Metazoa; Chordata; Actinopteri; Blenniiformes; Blenniidae
Description: partial 12S rRNA
Rfam family: Bacterial small subunit ribosomal RNA
Source: RNAcentral